This 74-nucleotide transfer RNA is filed under the name Ruminococcus sp. AF14-5. RNAcentral's name for it is "tRNA-Asp". It matches the Rfam family "tRNA". From Rfam's summary of the family: Transfer RNA (tRNA) molecules are approximately 80 nucleotides in length. Their secondary structure includes four short double-helical elements and three loops (D, anti-codon, and T loops). Further hydrogen bonds mediate the characteristic L-shaped molecular structure. tRNAs have two regions of fundamental functional importance: the anti-codon, which is responsible for specific mRNA codon recognition, and the 3' end, to which the tRNAs corresponding amino acid is attached (by aminoacyl-tRNA synthetases). tRNAs cope with the degeneracy of the genetic code in two manners: having more than one tRNA (with a specific anti-codon) for a particular amino acid; and 'wobble' base-pairing, i.e. permitting non-standard base-pairing at the 3rd anti-codon position. The record is from RNAcentral. Lineage: Bacteria; Bacillati; Bacillota; Clostridia; Eubacteriales; Oscillospiraceae. RNAcentral also lists the same sequence under 1 other name.
GGCCUCAUAGGAUAAUUGGUUAUUCCGCCUGACUGUCUAUCAGGAGAUUCCGGGUUCAAGUCCCGGUGGGGUCG